GCUUACGGCCAUACCAGCCUGGGUACGCCCGAUCUCGUCUGAUCUUGGAAGCUAAGCAGGGUCGGGCCUGGUUAGUACUUGGAUGGGAGACCGCCUGGGAAUACCAGGUGCUGUAAGCA
Molecule: ribosomal RNA, 119 nt
Filed under: Salmo salar (Atlantic salmon)
Lineage: Eukaryota; Metazoa; Chordata; Actinopteri; Salmoniformes; Salmonidae
Source: RNAcentral